UUUCCGUAGGUGAACCUGCGGAAGGAUCAUUACAGAGUUCAUGCCCUCACGGGUAGAUCUCCCACCCUUGAAUAUUUAUACCUUAGUUGCUUUGGCAGGCCGUGGAAACACCAUGGGCUCCGGCUUAUGCGUGCUUGCCAGAGGAAACAAACUCUGUUUUAGUGAUGUCUGAGUACUAUAUAAUAGUUAAAACUUUCAACAACGGAUCUCUUGGUUCUG
RNAcentral lists this unclassified non-coding RNA (219 nucleotides) under plant metagenome. RNAcentral describes it as "partial contains small subunit ribosomal RNA, internal transcribed spacer 1, and 5.8S ribosomal RNA". The record is from RNAcentral.